This 1041-nucleotide ribosomal RNA is filed under the name unidentified archaeon. Its description in RNAcentral is "bacterial SSU rRNA". It matches the Rfam family "Archaeal small subunit ribosomal RNA", at positions 6 to 1054 of the family's 1478-position model. The record is from RNAcentral.
GGUUGAUCCUGCCGGACCCGACUGCUAUCAGAGUGGGACUAAGCCAUGCGAGUCAACAUAGCAAUAUGUGGCAUACGGCUCAGUAACACGUAGUCAACAUGCCCAGGGGACGUGGAUAACCUCGGGAAACUGAGGAUAAACCGCGAUAGGUCAUCACUUCUGGAAUGGGUAAUGACUUAAAUCUAUAUGGCCCCUGGAUUGGACUGCGGCCGAUCAGGCUGUUGGUGAGGUAAUGGCCCACCAAACCUGUAACCCGGUACGGGCUCUGAGAGGAGGAGCCCGGAGAUGGGCACUGAGACAAGGGCCCAGGCCCUAUGGGGCGCAGCAGGCGCGAAACCUCUGCAAUAGGCGAAAGCUUGACAGGGUUACUCUGAGUGAUUUCCGUUAAGGAGAUCUUUUGGCACCUCUAAAAAUGGUGCAGAAUAAGGGGUGGGCAAGUCUGGUGUCAGCCGCCGCGGUAAUACCAGCACCCCGAGUGGUCGGGACGUUUAUUGGGCCUAAAGCAUCCGUAGCCGGUUCUACAAGUCUUCCGUUAAAUCCACCUGCUUAACAGAUGGGCUGCGGAAGAUACUAUAGAGCUAGGAGGCGGGAGAGGCAAGCGGUACUCGAUGGGUAGGGGUAAAAUCCGUUGAUCCAUUGAAGACCACCAGUGGCGAAGGCGGCUUGCCAGAACGCGCUCGACGGUGAGGGAUGAAAGCUGGGGGAGCAAACCGGAUUAGAUACCCGGGUAGUCCCAGCUGUAAACGAUGCAGACUCGGUGAUGAGUUGGCUUAUUGCUAACUCAGUGCCGCAGGGAAGCCGUUAAGUUUGCCGCCUGGGGAGUACGGUCGCAAGACUGAAACUUAAAGGAAUUGGCGGGGGAGCACCACAAGGGGUGAAGCCUGCGGUUCAAUUGGAGUCAACGCCGGAAAUCUUACCGGGGGCGACAGCAGAGUGAAGGUCAAGCUGAAGACUUUACCAGACAAGCUGAGAGGAGGUGCAUGGCCGUCGCCAGCUCGUGCCGUGAGGUGUCCUGUUAAGUCAGGUAACGAGCGAGACCCA